GGGUGGUUAGCUCAGCGGCAGAGCAUCGGCCUUACAAGCCGGAGGUCACAGGUUCGAGCCCUGUACCACCCACCA
Molecule: transfer RNA, 75 nt
Filed under: Desulfovibrio sp.
Lineage: Bacteria; Pseudomonadati; Thermodesulfobacteriota; Desulfovibrionia; Desulfovibrionales; Desulfovibrionaceae
Description: tRNA-Val
Rfam family: tRNA
About the family: Transfer RNA (tRNA) molecules are approximately 80 nucleotides in length. Their secondary structure includes four short double-helical elements and three loops (D, anti-codon, and T loops).
Source: RNAcentral